The sequence is a ribosomal RNA, 377 nucleotides long. It matches the Rfam family "Eukaryotic small subunit ribosomal RNA", at positions 582 to 975 of the family's 1831-position model.
AUUCCAGCUCCACUAGCGUAUAUUAAAGUUGUUGCGGUUAAAAAGCUCGUAGUUGAACUUCUGGCGGAUGGUUUCGCUGGCUUCGGUCGCGUUAAUGUCUGUCAUCCGCUAGGGAACCUCGUUCGGUCUUCAUUGGUCGGCGGGAGGAUCUGGCAUUUUACUUUGAAAAAAUUAGAGUGUUCAAGGCAGGCAAUCGCCAUGAAUACACAGGCAUGGAAUAAUGGAAUAGGACUUAUGGUCAUUUUAUUGGUUAUUGACUGUAAGUAAUGAUUAAUAGGGACAGUUGGGGGCAUUAGUAUUUAAUUGUCAGAGGUGAAAUUCUUGGAUUUAUUAAAGACGGACUACUGCGAAAGCAUCUGCCAUGGAUGUUUUCAUUG